RNAcentral lists this transfer RNA (73 nucleotides) under Felis catus (domestic cat). It matches the Rfam family "tRNA". From Rfam's summary of the family: Transfer RNA (tRNA) molecules are approximately 80 nucleotides in length. Lineage: Eukaryota; Metazoa; Chordata; Mammalia; Carnivora; Felidae. The record is from Rfam by way of RNAcentral. RNAcentral also lists the same sequence under 5 other names.
GCCUGGCUGGCUCAGUCAGCAGAGCAUGUGACUCUUAAUCUUGGGGUUGUGAGUUCGAGCCCCAUGUUGGGUG